UGGGGAAUAUUGCACAAUGGGGGAAACCCUGAUGCAGCGACGCCGCGUGAGUGAAGAAGUAUCUCGGUAUGUAAAGCUCUAUCAGCAGGGAAGAAAAUGACGGUACCUGACUAAGAAGCCCCGGCUAACUACGUGCCAGCAGCCGCGGUAAUACGUAGGGGGCAAGCGUUAUCCGGAAUUACUGGGUGUAAAGGGUGCGUAGGUGGUAUGGCAAGUCAGAAGUGAAAACCCAGGGCUUAACUCUGGGACUGCUUUUGAAACUGUCAGACUGGAGUGCAGGAGAGGUAAGCGGAAUUCCUAGUGUAGCGGUGAAAUGCGUAGAUAUUAGGAGGAACAUCAGUGGCGAAGGCGGCUUACUGGACUGAAACUGACACUGAGGCACGAAAGCGUGGGGAGCAAACAGG
RNAcentral lists this ribosomal RNA (404 nucleotides) under Acidobacteriota bacterium. RNAcentral's name for it is "Acidobacteria bacterium partial 16S ribosomal RNA". It matches the Rfam family "Bacterial small subunit ribosomal RNA", at positions 355 to 776 of the family's 1533-position model. RNAcentral also lists the same sequence under 3 other names. Lineage: Bacteria; Pseudomonadati; Acidobacteriota. The record is from RNAcentral.